CCUACGGGAGGCAGCAGUGAGGAAUAUUGGUCAAUGGGCGGGAGCCUGAACCAGCCAAGUCGCGUGAGGGAAGACGGUCCUAUGGAUUGUAAACCUCUUUAGUCGGGGAGCAAUGCCGGGCACGCGUGCCCGGAGGGAGAGUACCCGCAGAAUAAGCUUCGGCUAACUCGGUGCCAGCAGCCGCGGUAUUCCGGGGGAUGCGAGAGUUACCCGGUUUUAUGGGGUUUAAAGGGUGCGUAGGCGGAUUUUAAAGUCAGCGGGAAAAUGUUCGGCCUCAACCCGGGCCGGCCGUUGAAACUGGGGAUCUUGAGUGGGCGAGAAGUAGGCGGAAUGCGUGGUGUAGCGGUGAAAUGCAUAGAUAUCACGCAGAACUCCGAUUGCGAAGGCAGCAUACCGGCGCCCGACUGACGCUGAGGCACGAAAGCGUGGGGAUCGAACAGGAUUAGAUACCCCUGUAGUC
RNAcentral lists this ribosomal RNA (460 nucleotides) under uncultured bacterium. Its description in RNAcentral is "partial 16S ribosomal RNA". It matches the Rfam family "Bacterial small subunit ribosomal RNA", at positions 338 to 795 of the family's 1533-position model. The record is from RNAcentral.